GAUGUUUUUUCUCAGUCACCCGGGGGGAACGCAUAUCUGUAUCGCAAUAAUUAUUGGGAUUUUGACCUACCAGUGUCGAUCAUGGGAAUUACAGAUAUGCGUUCUUUCCGAAUGACUAAGGGAAUGUC
RNAcentral lists this microRNA precursor (128 nucleotides) under Picea abies (Norway spruce). RNAcentral describes it as "miR11459 stem-loop (pab-MIR11459)". Lineage: Eukaryota; Viridiplantae; Streptophyta; Pinopsida; Pinales; Pinaceae. The record is from miRBase by way of RNAcentral.